RNAcentral lists this ribosomal RNA (468 nucleotides) under uncultured bacterium. RNAcentral's name for it is "partial 16S ribosomal RNA". It matches the Rfam family "Bacterial small subunit ribosomal RNA", at positions 28 to 507 of the family's 1533-position model. The record is from RNAcentral.
GACGAACGCUGGCGGCGUGCUUAAUACAUGCAAGUCGAACGGAAAGGCCCUGCUUUUGUGGGGUGCUCGAGUGGCGAACGGGUGAGUAACACGUGAGUAACCUGCCCUUGAAUUUGGGAUAACUUCAGGAAACUGGGGCUAAUACCGGAUAGGAGCUCUUGCUGCAUGGUGGGGGUUGGAAAGUUUCGGCGGUUGGGGCUGGACUCGCGGCUUACCCGCUUGUUGGCGGGGUAGUGGCUUACCAAGGUUUUGACGGGUAGCCGGCCUGAGAGGGUGACCGGCCUCAAUGGGACUGAGAUACGGCGCAGAAGGCUACGGGAGGCAGCAGGGGGGAAUAUUGCACAAUGGGCGGAAGCCUGAUGCAGCAACGCCGCGUGCGGAAUGACGUCCUUCGGGUGGUAAACCGCUUUCGCCUGUGACGAAGCGGGAGUGACGGUAAUGGGUAAAGAAGCACCGGCUAACUACGUG